UCGCUCUAAUUGGAUGUCAACAAACAUAUUAAACGCGAGCCGCGAACGUCUGUGAUACGAGUGUAUUAUUGCAUUUGCUUUCCCGGAGCGGCCGCCACUCGAAACUCGCGAUUUUCCCCUGCGGAAAGCCCCUUUCGAGAGCUCCCCCAGAUUACCCAGUACCGAUUGUGUGGGCAGUCAGUCAGUUUCCGGAAACUUUUUCGCGAUAAGUUAAUUGUAUCUGUCGUCUGCAGCCGCUGCCGCGAAUUGCUCGCAAAAUACAAGGUUUAAUUGAGGGAAAUUGAGACUGCAAUCGCGGCUCAAGCCGUAGCCAAAAGGCCACUUAUUGAUAUAUCCGGACUCGCAAACAAGUUGCAGAUGGCGGCGAGAUCCACCGGGGAUCCGGUGAAUCGGCCAGGGGAAAUCACAUUUCUCUGCGAGUUCAUUCAACCUCGCCCCAGUGAACUUAGCUGAGGUUAUUUUUACUUCCAAGCAACAGCCUCCUCCGGAAUCCCCCAGCUCCAAUCCCCCCCUACUCCAUCCCCUCUUCCUGCGCCGCCAAAAGCCACCUAGGCCAGGCCAACUGGUCGCCGCAGCCAGAGCAAGAGCAACUGGUCUGGUCUGGUUGGCUGGAGACCAAGUCCCCGAUCUCCGGUCUCCCGAGGCACCACAGAUUUAUAGGGCCCGCGGCUGAUGCACUGAGCCAAAUGGCCACAAAGAAAGAUAUUCAAACAGAAAAAUCAUCUACUUUGCGUUUGAAAACUAAGUCGAAACUUCUUUUAAACUAAGAGUUUCCAAAUAUAGUUUCAAUUGAAUUGUAUGGACAGCUAACAAAUCGCAAUGCCAAUAGUGCAACGCCACCUAAAUUUAUUUGGACUUCGCCAUAACAUCAUUUUAUAAGAUCAUGUUAAGUGGGCUUAUAAGCACAAUUCAGCAAGUCGGUGAAAAUUUGUUAUUUAUUUAUUUCACGCGUGAAUGGAUACAGGCUUAAAAUAAAGAUCUAUUCAUCAGAUUGUCCCAGAAAGACAUGCAACAGACUUGGGGCAAAGUCACCAUUAAAUCAACAACAAAUCCAAAUUAAAUCCUGAUUUCUGUGACCAGCAUGCUUAUGCAGGUGCCCACUGUCUCCUCCUUUUUCUCAGUGUAUAUGAGGCCUUUGCUCAUUUUAUGUUUUGCUUGACUGCAGUUUCUGGUUGCCGUUGCUGUUGUUGUUGGCGUUGCAUGUUGCAUGUGCCGCUGGCUGCUUUGCUUCCUUAUUGGGUGAAAAUCGCGUCGAUGCCAUGGGGAAGUCAUUUUUGAUUGCCAACAGAUUGAUUUGUCAUUUAUUUUGUGAUUUGAUCGCUUUCCCCCCGUCCAGCCGUCGCCACCCCCUUCGGAAGGUUACCGCCCCCGGGCUUUCGUAAUCCGAAAGAUUUUCCAUUCAAGAGGCGGCGUCUUUGUUAUGCGUGCAAUGCGAUGCAUUGAUCUAAUGGCCAUUGACAGGCGCAACUGAUAAAUUAUGAAAUCAAUAACAGAGCUGUAAUAAGAGCGCGGACAAGGUUCAUAGUUAGCAUGCAUAAGAUACGCGCACGCACUCUCCGUCUCCAUCUCCAUCUCCAUUUUCAGCUACCAGUUACUCGGAUACUCGGCUGCCCAGAUACUCGAAUGACCGAUACACUGGAACACUCGACCACCCGUUUAUCAACAAACUGCACGAUAAUUGCAAUUACAAUCGCAGUCCACCGCCGAUUGUCGCAUAUGCAAAUCGAUGCGGAAUUUCCAUAGAACUCGGAAAUUUCCAUUCCGACGGCGCUGCGUUUGAAUGAUAGCUCACAAUCAUGGGCAGCGGUUUCAGUUUCCACUCUAAAAGGAGGCAUAACUAUUUGUUUUUUUUCUGAGCUGCUAAACUAGACUAAAACUAUUUUAUAUAAAAAUUAAAACUAAAUUACCACCCUUGCAUUUAAGUAAAUACGUGAUAUAAGUUGCCUGAGCUAAAAAUGUAGAUAUAUGUUUAGAAUUCCCACAUUUGUUUCUGCAAAGUGCCAAAAUGAUUAUGGAAAUCCAAGUACUGUCUUUGUUUAUCCAAAUAUCUGAUUUCGCUAGGGUAUGCCCAAUUUCGAUGGCCCCAUCUAGACUUUCUUUACCCGUGUUUUUUUCCUAAUGCCGGGCUCUGUUUUCAUAAAUAAUUUUGCGUAAGCUGCGCCAACACAUGGUGAAAGAUGCCAAGACUGCUUACGUGCCAGCGAACAGCAUUCAGUGGUGGCAUCCACGUCCACAUCCACAACGAGAUGCCCAGAUACCGAGAUACUGAGAUACCGAGAUACUCGACUGCUCGAUUGCUCGGGAGGAGUAUCUGCAAGAUACGCGGCCGAUGCGCAAGCAGGCCAAUGACCGUUUGACCGCUGUGUAAUGAUCGACAGUCCGUAUAUGCAGUAUCUGCGGUAUAUGCUGCAUAUACUCUAUGAGAUGGAUACCAUAUGCAGAUUCUUAUGCACCGCACGCUGAUUUUCCGUUCAUAUUGGUGCCAUUAACGGAGAACGAACCGCACAGCCGGCGGCGGGCAACUUACCUAAUAUCCUUUCAUUGAGAUUUCAGUUUCGGCAAUUGCCGUUGGCCGAAAGCCAGGGAAAAGUGAGUGAAGUAGCCAAGGGAUGCCAGAUUUGCAUUCUGCGUCACUGCGUCAGUGCGUCUGUUAUGAACCGAUCGAUAGGUUGCGGAUUUAGCAUAUUCAAUUCCCCCACGCCGACUCUUUAACAUAUUUGCCAGUCAUUACAAGCGAAAUGCGGGGAAUGGGAGCCAAUCCGAAUCCGAAUCCGAAACAAUCCAAUCCAAUUCGGUGGCUGUGCAGUCUGUUAGGUGUUUGGAAAUCGAGGAAAAGUUCCAUCACAGUCACGUUUACUUGAUUUAAUUCGUUGACCAAAUCUGGAGUAAAAGUUCACUUCGUAAUUUAUACUGGUUCCGGCGGGCACGUGGAUCACAACAGUCGUUGUUCUGGUCAGGAUUCUUGGAAGCGAGGACUACCAAAUGGUGUAACCGCAAUAUCAUAUGGGAUAUACAAAAUUUAGUUUGCAAAAUAAUGAAUGAAAUAGAGAUCCCAAUGAAAUCGGUCGACUUAAAUACAGAAAAUAACAAAUUUUCAUUGCUAAUCGUUAGCAUCAUGACUUUCCAAGAAACGAUUACCGCUUCCAAUUUUCUGGCCAAUUUGGGUCAAGUGGACCAAGUGCUUACCGUUACCUUCUGGCCAAUCAAGAGUGUCAAGCGUCUUAAGCGACUUAGGUGGGUUGGCCAGGCCAAUAGAGAAGUUACCGCUUAGCAUUUGCUGGCCGAGCAAGUUUUGGGCCAAAAGCACGAGUGUUCAAACUGUCAACGCGGCAGCAACUAACAACAGCAACAAUAACAAGUUUCUGCCAUUGCAAUGGCAAUUUAUGAAUAGCAAACAAAUCGGGCAAAAAACACAAAACUGCAACAUUGCAUGGCCAAGUCCAAGAGCAAGAAAAGUCAGCGGAAAAUACUGUUAAAUGUGCACAAACCGAAAGAAACAACGAACAUUGACCCAAAUUUUUAAAAAAUCUCCAAGACCGUUCGGAGGUUUUUCUCGAAGUCUGGGCCCCUUGGCAAACAUUGCAUAAGUAGUCGGCGAAAAGGAAAACCCAAGAAAACCGCAGCAGCAGCCGUCCUGGGCACCUCGAAAAAAUAUUAAAUUGAUCGAAUUACAAGGCAAAUGCGGCAGGGAAAGUGAUCGAGGGGGAAAACUCACCGACUGACAGUUGUGCCAACAAAUGUUGGAUGUGGCACGUGGCGCAUUUUGGGAAAACAAAAGGUGCAAAGCGGAAAGGGAAACUCGGGCCCAAACGAUGCAUAACGAAAUUCGUUAAUAAAAAAAAGCAAAAACCAUGUGGAAAGUGAAAACCCAGAAGCGGAAGCGCCAAAAUGCAGCGAGGAUGAUGCGCAUCCGGUGCAUCACUUAAAAAGGACUAAAGGGUCCCCUCAUCUCCACUCGAACCCGUGCCAAAAGGGUGUGGCGAUCAUCUUACAGACGGCGAACAUCUUCCCGUCUCCGGAAUGGAAUCCUUGAUUCCGGGCCCGUGCCAAAGGGUUGCAUCCCCCGCUCGUGGCAAGCAGCCGUCCUCCAGUCGAAUAUUUCGUUGUGUGCCGGAAGUGCCCCUUUUAGUUAUGACACACCUUGUAAUCCUCGCCUGCUGCUCCCGGCCUCACCAGCUGACUUGGACACCGAGCAAAUUUGGGUUUAAAAAUAUGUGAAAGAUCGAGAAAUUCUGCAACACCUCGGCGCAGUAUCUCAUUAUUGCUUUUUGUCGCAUCCCAGUGGCCUUUGUGAGUGGACCUGCCUCCGGUGUCGCAUUUCGCGGAAGCACCCGUCGCUUCGGUGGGUCGUCCAGCACACCGACUGGCUGCUGACUCAUGCCGAGCGUUUAUCCUUUUUAUGAGUCGGCAGUUGCGGCCUAAGCCCUUUGAGUCCUCAGCCUUCGAGCUGGCCCGGCUUAGGCUACCACAAAUGUCACGUAAAGUGGGCAGUGACCGUCGCGCCGCCGGCUCAAAGACCAUUAAUUUGGGACUUAUGGCACAUAAGGAUAUUAGCAUUUUGGCAAGGAUCCUCGGCUUGUCGUCUCUCUGUUUGACUAAGCGGCGACAGCCACAAUCUUGGGUUAACAUCUAUAUUCCCUCAUUUGCACUUGGAAAAGUAUAUUAAUGGAUAUUUGCACUGUGGUUGUAUACAACCUUACUUAGACCUGUGACCAAACAAAAUCUUUGUAUUUGUCAUGCGGUUACAAAGAUUUUUUACUAUUGUAAUCUUUUAUUGAAGACAUGCAAGUACUGCAGAUAUUUUCAUAGUUAAAGAACUUCAUCUUGUUGUAUUGUUGCAUUAUCUUAAAUCUUUUGGAAUCUCGGAAAUUGUAAUACAAGUACGACCUAAUACUUUGGUUUUCUAAAUCUAUUAAACAAUUGAAUUAAAUACUUCAUGCUUUGGUUUUCUAAAUAUAUGUAUCAAUUUAAAUAAAAACCCAAUUUCCCACCUUUU
This is a long non-coding RNA of Drosophila simulans, 4996 nucleotides long. RefSeq lists it as uncharacterized. NCBI's taxonomy places the organism in Eukaryota, Metazoa, Arthropoda, Insecta, Diptera, Drosophilidae. The record is from RefSeq and is a predicted model, not a curated record. The transcript has 3 exons.